RNAcentral lists this ribosomal RNA (848 nucleotides) under Nolanea sp. 2 TM03_403. Its description in RNAcentral is "eukaryotic LSU rRNA". It matches the Rfam family "Eukaryotic large subunit ribosomal RNA", at positions 75 to 909 of the family's 3401-position model. Lineage: Eukaryota; Fungi; Basidiomycota; Agaricomycetes; Agaricales; Entolomataceae. The record is from RNAcentral.
UUCCCUUAGUAACUGCGAGUGAAGCGGGAAAAGCUCAAAUUUAAAAUCUGGUGGUCUUUGGCUACCCGAGUUGUAAUCUAGAGAAGCACCAUCCGCGCUGGACCGUGUAUAAGUCUCCUGGAAUGGAGCGUCAUAGAGGGUGAGAAUCCCGUCUUUGACACGGAUUACCAGGGCUUUGUGAUAUGCUCUCAAAGAGUCGAGUUGUUUGGGAAUGCAGCUCUAAAUGGGUGGUAAGUUCCAUCUAAAGCUAAAUAUUGGCGAGAGACCGAUAGCGAACAAGUACCGUGAGGGAAAGAUGAAAAGAACUUUGGAAAGAGAGUUAAACAGUACGUGAAAUUGUUGAAAGGGAAACGCUUAAAGUCAGUCGCAUUGACUAGGGAUCAACCUUGCUUCUGCCUGGUGUACUUCCUGGUUGAUGGGUCAGCAUCAAUUUUGACCAAUGGAAAAAGGCCAAGGGAAUGUGGCAUCUUCGGAUGUGUUAUAGCCUUCGGUCACAUACAUUGGUUGGGAUUGAGGAACUCAGCACGCCGCAAGGCCGGGUUUUUUACCACGUUCGUGCUUAGGAUGCUGGCAUAAUGGCUUUAAUCGACCCGUCUUGAAACACGGACCAAGGAGUCUAACAUGCCUGCGAGUGUUUGGGUGGAAAACCCAAGCGCGUAAUGAAAGUGAAAGUUGGGAUCCCUGUCGUGGGGAGCACCGACGCCCGGACCAGACCUUCUGUGACGGAUCCGCGGUAGAGCAUGUAUGUUGGGACCCGAAAGAUGGUGAACUAUGCCUGAAUAGGGUGAAGCCAGAGGAAACUCUGGUGGAGGCUCGUAGCGAUUCUGACGUGCAAAUCGAUCGUCGAA